ACCACAUGUAUUCAGGGUUUCUUUACAGUUUUUGCCCGUUGCUUGAACACUAUAAACCCAUGCUCAGACUAAAGUAACACAACGUGAAGCUUUUGUUACCAUACCUCAAACACAUGUACCCAUACCUUAAACAAAAGCGCUGCUUUGCACCCCAGUACCAAUUAUGCAACACUCCUACUCCUUUAUGCAACACACCUACCCCUUUAUGCAACACACAUGGUCCUGCAUGCUACACUCUAUUUCAUACAUAAGACACUUCGCUCACAAAAUGAAAUCUCAGGGUGCCAUUCGGAAAACACAUGUAUCCAAAAUACAAAACACAUCGGGUAAUUGCAACCACUCAAAUACACACCUGAAGGCACGUACUUGCAAAACUGAACACCAAUUAGCCAACUACAAAAAGCCCUCAGCGUAGCCAUUUCAAGAACUUUGCAAGCAUGGAUGGAGGGAGAGCAAGAGGAAGAGGAAGAGGUAGAGGAGGAGGAGGAAGAGGAGGAGAAGGCCGAAGAGGCCAUGAACGGACCCAUAUUUCUGAUGAAAUAAGAGCAACUUUGGUGGACCAUGUCAUCAACCAUGGCCUGACUAUGAGGGAAGCUGGGCAGAGAGUCCACCCACAUCUAAGCCGCUUCACAGUGGCAUCUGUAAUACGAACAUUCCGACUAGAAAACAGAAUGACCCGAAGACCUUCUGGGGGAGGACGGCAACGCCUGUUCACACAACAGCAGGAACUUGCCGUUGUGGACCUAGUGAGGGCAGACAAUGCCAUCCGUCACCAGGCAAUGGAACAGGCCUGCGGCGACAUUCAGGUGACAGCAAUCCAUGGAUGGUUUCGACAUGCAAGAGGAUAUUUUCCCCGGUGCCCAGCGGGAGAGGACACUGCUUGCGAUGUUGAUGAGGUCCUGUGGCCAGACCCCAACAGACGGCGGGAUCCAUGAGCCCACUUAUGCACAAUUGUCAUGGUUUUUUGUGUUUACAGUAUAGUGUUUUUUCUAUUGCAGUAUUAUUGUGUUGUGGGUUUUUUUUUUUUUUUUGCUUUAUCUGAAUUCAUGGUACUGCGAUGUACAAUAUUGAGUAGGUCUAUUUGCAUUUUUGGUUGUUUGGAAAUGUGUCUCCUGUAAAUGUGCCUUCUGAAUACACAAUGGAAAUCAAGGACUGCAGUGUUUUAUGUAAAGAAGACUAGUGUGUUCCCCCUGAUCUGUAAG
Long non-coding RNA from Astatotilapia calliptera (eastern happy), 1202 nucleotides. The record is from Ensembl. Lineage: Eukaryota; Metazoa; Chordata; Actinopteri; Cichliformes; Cichlidae.